RNA transcript from Manis pentadactyla (Chinese pangolin), 6438 nucleotides. It is a transcript of the gene named LUC7 like 3 pre-mRNA splicing factor, with no coding region annotated. The record is from RefSeq and is a predicted model, not a curated record. The transcript has 11 exons. NCBI's taxonomy places the organism in Eukaryota, Metazoa, Chordata, Mammalia, Pholidota, Manidae.
GGCCAUUUUGUCUUAUCGACUCCUCUGUAGCGGAGGCUUUGCGGCCUGUGAGCGGGCCGAGGAGAUUGGCGACGGUGUCGCCGGCGUUUUCUUUGGCGGGUGCCAGGGCUGGUGGGAGCAGCCGCCCGAGGAAAGCACCAUGAUUUCGGCCGCGCAAUUGUUGGAUGAGUUAAUGGGCCGGGACCGAAACCUCGCCCCGGACGAGAAGCGCAGCAACGUGCGGUGGGACCACGAGAGCGUCUGUAAAUAUUAUCUCUGUGGUUUUUGUCCUGCGGAAUUGUUCACAAACACUCGUUCUGAUCUUGGACCAUGUGAAAAAAUACAUGAUGAAAAUCUACGAAAGCAGUAUGAGAAGAGUUCCCGAUUUAUGAAAGUCGGCUACGAGAGAGAUUUUCUGCGAUAUUUACAGAGCUUACUUGCAGAAGUAGAACGUAGAAUUAGACGAGGCCACGCUCGUUUGGCAUUAUCUCAAAACCAGCAGUCCUCUGGGGCAGCUGGCCCAACGGGAAAAAAUGAAGAAAAAAUUCAGGUUCUAACAGAUAAAAUUGAUGUACUCCUGCAGCAGAUUGAAGAAUUAGGAUCUGAAGGCAAAGUAGAAGAAGCCCAGGGAAUGAUGAAAUUAGUUGAACAGUUAAAAGAAGAGAGAGAGUUGCUUAGAUCUACAACCUCGACAAUUGAAAGUUUUGCUGCCCAAGAAAAACAAAUGGAAGUCUGUGAAGUGUGUGGAGCCUUUCUGAUAGUAGGAGAUGCCCAGUCCCGGGUAGAUGACCAUUUGAUGGGAAAACAGCACAUGGGCUAUGCCAAAAUUAAAGCUACUGUAGAAGAAUUAAAAGAAAGGUUAAGAAAAAGAACCGAAGAACCUGAUCGUGACGAGCGUUUAAAAAAGGAGAAGCAAGAACGAGAAGAAAGAGAAAAAGAGCGGGAGAGAGAAAGGGAAGAAAGAGAAAGGAAAAGACGAAGAGAAGAGGAAGAAAGAGAAAAAGAAAGGGCCCGAGACAGAGAGAGAAGAAAGAGAAGUCGUUCACGAAGUAGGCACUCAAGCCGAACUUCUGACCGAAGAUGCAGCAGGUCUCGGGACCACAAAAGAUCACGAAGUAGAGAAAGGCGGAGAAGCAGAAGUAGAGACCGACGAAGAAGCAGAAGCCAUGAUCGAUCAGAAAGAAAGCAUAGAUCUCGUAGUCGGGAUCGUAGAAGAUCAAAAAGCCGGGAUCGAAAAUCAUAUAAGCAUAGGAGCAAAAGUCGGGACAGAGAACAAGAUAGAAAAUCCAAGGAGAAAGAAAAGAGGGGAUCUGAUGAUAAAAAAAGUAGUGUGAAGUCCAGUAGUCGAGAAAAACAGAGUGAAGACACAAACACUGAAUCAAAGGAAAGUGAUACUAAGAAUGAGGUCAAUGGGACCAGUGAAGACAUUAAAUCUGAAGGUGACACUCAGUCCAAUUAAAACUGAUCUGAUAAGACCUCAGAUCAGACAGAGGUAAGUGUAUUGUUUCUCACUUUGAUUAGGGCUUUUUGUUACUGUUUGACAGUGCAGCGUAAGUAUGCACAGAUGAAGAUGGAACUAAGCCGAGUAAGAAGACAUACAAAAGCAUCUUCUGAAGGAAAAGACAGUGUAGUCCUGCAAAACAUUUUGAGCGUUGGUGUUGUGAGCGGCCCAUGAAAAGCCAAAUUAAAAAUCAAGGAUUCAGUCAAACUAAGCAGGUACUCAUGCCAGGUACUCCUUUCUCUACCCACAUCCAUGUUUGAAUGCUAUUGCCUGUGAUCUUUACGCUUAAUUGUUGUGUAUCUUUUUGUUCUUUACAAGAAACACAGGGGUUUUUUGUGUAUUGUGUAAUCUUACAAAUCAAAUGUUAACAGAAUGGAAUUUUUUUUCAACUGUAUGUAGGGAUGCAGUGGUGCCCAGAAUUAGAUAUCUUUAAAGAAUUUAAAAUACAGUAAACACUUCAUAUUAUUCGCCUUGUUACAUUCAGUGCAAUUCUCAAGUCUUUAAGAGGUAUGUGUUUAAUAUUUCCUACUGUGUAGGAGACUUUGCAGUCAGCCGUUAGGAGUAUAGGAAGAGUCACUGGCUGAUAAAAUUCAAAGCAGCAGUGAAUAGCAAGGAUGGAUACCUUCAAUCUGUGAAAUACAAAGAAGUGAUUGACUAUAUAGAAUGAAUUUGGGUUUUUAAAGAACUAUUAAAAGUCAGGUUGUAUAAGAGUUCUUAAAACCUAUAAACUAUUCAUUCUUUGGGCUAGUGGCAUGGGAUAAUAUAUUCCUACUUGAAAGGAAAUCCCAAUUAGUUGAUUUGUCAGUGGCAUUCCUUUUCUAGGACAGUGAUACAGUAGUAUGUCUGUGUGAGCCAUUUACAGAUAGGCAAGCAUACACAGGUACAUGGCUUUAAGACCACACUGAUACCUUGAUAAUAAAAAGAAUACAAACAUUCCAUGUACAUAUAUAAAUGAGCAGUUAGUGACUGGGCCAAUAACUUAGUCAUAAAAAUUUGCCUUUUACAUGUUGUCUAAUUACCAUUUUUCCCCAAAUUUUGCAUUGUAGGACUACUGUUCGAAGAUUUUUGAAAGAAAACUGAAAACGGCAUAAAGUGAAGAUCAACAUUAAAAUGAGGUGAAAGAAAACUUUAGUGGCAUAGAAAAAGUAUAAAGCUCAGUUAGUAUGUUUUUUUUAAUUAAAAGUUUAUUCAGAACUGAUGUGACCUACCAGAUUUCAGAACACGUGUUAAUAGCAUAUAUAUGCCACUGAAAACUUAGGUCCUGUAUCAUAUUUUUUUCUUUAAGACUUUUUAAGAAAUAUUACUUAAACAUGUGGCUUGCUCACUGUUUAAUUGCAAGUUUUCAUUCUUGGACUUUGAAAACAGGAUUAAACGUUAGUAUUUGUGUGAAUCGGUUUAAGUGGGAUUCCAUUUUUACAACUCUGCUUACCUAGCCUUUGGAUUUAGAAGUGAAAAUAAAGUAUCUCUGACUUUAUGUUACAGAUUUGAUUGUCUCUGUCAUUGAAAAGUUUUAGUAUUAAUCUUUUUCUAAUAAAGUUAUUGACUCUGAAAUAGUCCCUUGUUUUAAAUAUAAGAGGUGCACUGUUAGAGGUGUUAGUGUACAGUUUUAUCUGAUUUGUUUUGUUUAGGACUAAUUUAAAUGUUUUAAAUAAUGGUGCUUCAAUUUUGGGUGGUUAUGAAUAAAUUUUGAAUUUUGCUUUUAAUAGCAAAGAUGUACAGUGACCUAGAAUAUAUUUUUACAUCCCUGAGAGUUCUUUAGUAGUAGAAUAAAAUUCAAACAAUUCUGACAAAUACUGUCAUAUUCUAGCUAUGAUGAAAUAAUUAUGUAGAAGAGCAUUCAAGAACUUUUAACUAAUUUUUGUCUUUGUUUUAAAUCCUGUAUCAAGAUUUCUUUUCAUCUGGUCUUGUCACAUUACAAAUGUAUUCAUUUGUGUGUAUGGGGUGUGUAGUACAUAUAACAAGGAUCUUUUUUAAAAAACUGCAUGAACAGGUGAUUUUUUUCCUACAGACAGCAAAUUUGACAGACUGUUUCUAUGUAUAGCCAGCUUUGUUAGCUGUAUGAAAGUAUUAUCUCCAGCUACGUAUAUCAUAGCAAUUCUUUCUGAUUAUGAUUUUCAAAUACUGCCAUUAGUUUAUAGGUAGAGAAAGCAAGUAAAAAUGGGUUAGAUGACUUAUCUAAGGUCAUGUUGCUCCAUGGUGAUGCUUAACGAGCCCAUGGAGUACAGUCUCUGUGUGCAUUGAAGUUGAAGAAUUGACUAAAACAGCCUCCACCAGGCUUUGGAAAAUAAUGAAGCUACCACUUCAGAGGCUCUGUAUGAGAUAAUGCUGUGUGGACAGAGCACACAUGGCUUACCCAGCUGAUCCUGGGGGCUCAGAAAUAGGUGAAUGGGUUAUCUCUGAAUUUGCCAGAUAUGAUUCACACAAGGAUUGAGAUGGGGAAACAAUGUAACACAAAGUCAGCCACCUUCAAAACUCUGCUUUGUGUAGUUUGACAGGAUUGUGGAUGAGGAGUAAAAGACUUAAAGUAAUAAUUUACCGUAUUCUGUUACUAAGUAUUAAGAAAAAUGGAAAACAAAAAACUAACGUGUUAAAAUGCCUGAUUUGUUCUGCCUCGUGUAGCAUCAAUAGCUAAAUUAUUUUAAUGAAGUACAGAAAUGAGUUCAUGAAAAGUUUUCAUCAUCUUCAUCUCUGUUGUAGACACUUAGGUCUGUUGAUCACUAUUGAAGCUUUGUAGGAUUUGAGGGAGAGGCCUGACUUCUUAGUAACUAAGGUAUGGCCUUCAGCUGUGGAGAUCUAAAAGUUGGGUCACCCCAUCACCCCAAAUUUGUCAGGUUCAGGAGGAAAUGAUUCUUAUUAACCAAGUUCACAGGAAUUCAAUAUAGAGGGCACACGCUAAUUAACUGUAACAAUAUACAUUUCUGUGGUGCACAUCAAAAAGUUGUCAGUUGAUGAAUAUGUAUUUUCUCUGCAAAGCUUUUAAGGGGCGCCAAUUGAUCAGGAGAUUACUUGAUAAGAUUGGAAUCAGGAAUUCUUAAACUUUUUAUUUAGGAGAAUUGAAGGCAUACACAAAUGUAGAACAGUAUAAUUAGCCUCUAUGAAAGCUCAUCACCAAUAAGACACAAUGGCCUGUCUUAACAUCAUUUGUGUGUAUCCCUUGCCCCCUAUUAUUUUCAGUCAAGUCUUAGACAUAAUGUGUAAAUAUUUCACCUUGUAUCUCUAAAAGGUAAAGACUUUAAACAGUUCAUUAAUCAAAAUAAAUUGGAUGAACUUCUAAUUGGCCAGAGUCAACUAUAGUACUGGUGUGAUAGCUUACUUUUCAUGGUGCCUCUCAAGGGGACCAGGUGUUGAGGCUGAUGCUCUGGCAUCCUUCCUUCUGCAAUGUAGAAAGAAGUGCAUCUUCCCCCCUUUUUUUUGACAUUUUCCCCCAGAUGAGAAUAUAUUUUUCAAUAAGGAUUAAAAUGCCUUUUCUUGAGCUUUUAAUAAACUAGUAUUUCCUUCCCAGUUUAGAUAUUUUAACAAUCUCUCCCUGGCAGUGGUCUGUCCAAGUUCUUCAAUAUACUGAGUAUCACAGCAGACACACUGACCCUAUUUUUAAGGUCUGAGAACAAUGACCACAUAAAGAUUGAGUUCAGAUACCUUCUGAUUAAAGUUUUAGAGAUGUUAAAACUGAACAAUUUAAGGUAGAAGCUUCUUGAGCUUGUUUCCAUUCUAUGCUUUUAAAAAUACAUUGUAGAGCUGUGUGAAUGUUCUUAAACAUUACCCUAAGGUGCAUGAAACAGCACUUGAGAAUUUAUUGUAUAUAUUUUCUGUGGGAUAUGACUUUAGGGUUGGUUUUCAGAUUUCAGUUCAGGCCAAAUUUUUAGAAAGAACCCCAGGUGAUUACUUUAUAAUUAUAAAGUUUUGUAUUGCACAUGUAAUGCUUGUACAAGGUUCAGAAACACUAGAAGUAUGUAGCGAUCUGUCUCCCUUCUACUUCUGUCCCUCCCUCUCUCCUCUCUCUCCAGGAGCUACUACUGUUACCAGUUGUUCUUCCAACUGUUUUUUUUGUGGGGAGGUGGGUGGCAGGGCAUGUAAGCAUAUAUGUAUAGAUCUUUUUAUAUAUGUUGCUACACAUGUUCUAUGAAUCUUGCUAUUUUCGCUUGGUUUAUUUAGAAACAUUGGAGACAGGAAACAGCAGUUCUAAAUUUUAACAUGGAGUUUUUUAAAGUACAUUUUAAGUAAACCAAAACAAAAGUAAGUGUGGUUUUCAUGGUUGUAUCAAAUUUUUGAAUUUCCUAUUUUGAAAUGCAGUUUGAGAAUUUCAUAGUUGAUCUGUUUUUUCCCCUCAGCCAUUCCAAGUAGAUCAGUUGUCAGCAUACUUGAGAAUGUAUAGGAACAACAGCUUCGGUAAACAGUUCGGCACAACCGGCUGUGCCGUAACUUCUCUUGGGGCCCUUCCACCCCAGACACAUAACUCUAGAGAAAUCCUUAACGUGUGUGCCAGAAGAUGGAUGUAAAAAUGUCAUAACAGCAUUAUUUGUAAUAGGAAGAAAAGGAAAAAAACCUGGAAAGAACCCAAGUAUCCUUCAGCAGUCCACUGGAUAAAUACUGUGGUUUAUUCCUGCAGUGGAAUUCCACACAAGUCAGACUGAACUACACUGCACCUGUGAACAUGGGUGAUCUCAGUGGUCAGAAAAGCAAGUUACAGAAGAAUACUUCCACUGAUUCCAUUUCUGUGGAGGUCAGAUGCAGGUGGUAAAACAUGGUAAAUGAAAGGAAAUGAUUGCCAUGAAAUUCAGUGUCACCCAUCGCAUUGGAGGGAUGGAGGGAAAUGAGACCUUGGAGGGCAAGGAGGAGCCUUCAGAGGAACUGGUGAUAAUGCUCUGUUGCAAAGGCUGGGUGGCAGUUUCUUUUCAACUGUAUUAUGUGUUUUUUGUAUGUAUGAUAUUUCUUAAUAAAAUUUAAAUUUAAAAAAAGAA